RNAcentral lists this ribosomal RNA (494 nucleotides) under uncultured bacterium. Its description in RNAcentral is "partial 16S ribosomal RNA". It matches the Rfam family "Bacterial small subunit ribosomal RNA", at positions 28 to 507 of the family's 1533-position model. The record is from RNAcentral.
GACGAACGCUGGCGGCGUGCUUAACACAUGCAAGUCGAACGGUGAAGCGCCUUCCUUUUUGGUGGGUGUGGAUGAGUGGCGAACGGGUGAGUAACACGUGAGUAACCUGCCCCCUUCUUCUGGAUAACCGCAUGAAAGUGUGGCUAAUACGGGAUAUUCUGGGUCUGUCGCAUGAUGGGUCUGGGAAAGAUAUUGUUUCGGUGGGGGAUGGGCUCGCGGCCUAUCAGCUUGUUGGUGGGGUGAUGGCCUACCAAGGCGGUGACGGGUAGCCGGCCUGAGAGGGUGGACGGUCACACUGGGACGGAGACACGGCCCAGACUCCUACGGGAGGCAGCAGUGGAGAAUAUCGCACAGUGGGCGCAAGCAUGAUGCAGCGACGCCGCGGGAGGGAUGGAGGCCUUCGGGUUGUGAACCUCUUUCGCCAGUGAAGCAGGCCUGCCUCGUUUGUGGGUGGGUUGACGGUAGCUGGAUAAGAAGCGCCGGCUAACUACGUG